UUCUCUAAAAAGUUUAUUUUCUGUUUUCCCUAAUUUUUUUCACGAAAUUUAUUAAACCCUGGAUCUUUCUGUGAGGUCGUGUUGUACACCGUCGGUGUUUUACCCGUUUCUCUCAAAUCGGUCGUCGACUACUGUACGAAUUUGAGCUGCUGCAACGAUACACGUCUUCAACAGAAACAAAUUUAGGUUCUGCAGGUGAAUUGACUAACGAUUUAGGAGGGAUAUUUUGGUUGUGCCUGCCAUUUUAUUUUGUUGUUUUGACUGUGUUGUUCGAUAUGUGACGGAUGACGUUUUGCUAAGCUGCUACUCGUAUGAUUUGGUUGUUCCAUUUUAUUUUCAAUUAUUUUUUAAGGCGGAAAUGUUCAUGGAUGUUUCUAAACAUUGCUAGUAUGUUUUAAGGUUGUAUUUUGUUAUUGUGGAUUAGUAUAUAAGUUUUAUUAGGUGAUUCUGUUUUAAUUUAUUUUUUUCUAUG
Hibiscus syriacus is the source of this 472-nucleotide long non-coding RNA. RefSeq lists it as uncharacterized. NCBI's taxonomy places the organism in Eukaryota, Viridiplantae, Streptophyta, Magnoliopsida, Malvales, Malvaceae. The transcript has 2 exons. The record is from RefSeq and is a predicted model, not a curated record.